Bufo gargarizans (Asiatic toad) is the source of this 188-nucleotide long non-coding RNA. RefSeq lists it as uncharacterized. The transcript is spliced from 3 exons. NCBI's taxonomy places the organism in Eukaryota, Metazoa, Chordata, Amphibia, Anura, Bufonidae. The record is from RefSeq and is a predicted model, not a curated record.
AAAUAUUGAUUCCUCGACGACAAACAUUGUAACUAAUUCAAUGGAGUUGGAUAUACUAAAUUCUUCAAAUACUUGUACUAUCUAUCUGGAUUAUCCAUAUCAAUUGGAGGCUUGUUAUGUGGAUGAUGAAAUUGUCAACCUUGAGAGUCUAUUUGAAGGAGAAGGACAACUAUUAGAUCAAAUAAUCG